Molecule: long non-coding RNA, 401 nt
Organism: Drosophila sulfurigaster albostrigata
Lineage: Eukaryota; Metazoa; Arthropoda; Insecta; Diptera; Drosophilidae
Exons: 2
Source: RefSeq, a predicted model, not a curated record
GGGCUGUCAAAUGUACAGUUUAAUUGCAGCUCAAAAUGCUUUCAAUUGCAAAACAUACACUUUUAAUUGUACUUCUGUUGUAUGUGGUGCCUUCGCCAAUUGUGGCAGUUGGUCAAGUGAAGUCUAUCCUUUCUAAUCUUGUUGGAAAUUUAACUGGAGAUGUGGCUUCCGAGAUUGUUUGCGUUCAGAACGGCGUAGAAGUUGCUUUGAAGGAUUUGCUGAAUGGCGUCACAGAUGGCACUUUGGGGGACACGGUGACAGCAGUCAUAGGGCCAGUUUUGACAAAAAUUUAUACUUCGUUAGAAAAUAUUUUGGCUGAGGUAAAUAGUUUGCUUGCCGCUAUCCCUUAAAGUUUUAAUAUUGAAGAAAAUAUUAAAUAAAUAAAACCAUGAAUAUUCUAA